RNAcentral lists this ribosomal RNA (253 nucleotides) under uncultured bacterium. RNAcentral's name for it is "partial 16S ribosomal RNA". It matches the Rfam family "Bacterial small subunit ribosomal RNA", at positions 524 to 776 of the family's 1533-position model. The record is from RNAcentral.
GACGAACCGUGCGGACGUUGUUCGGAAUCAUUGGGCUUAAAGGGCGCGUAGGCGGGUCGGCAAGUCAGGGGUGAAAGCCCGCGGCUCAACCGCGGAAGGGCCUUUGAUACUGCCGGUCUCGAGGGAGGCAGGGGAGCGCGGAACUUCCGGUGGAGCGGUGAAAUGCGUAGAUAUCGGAAGGAACGCCGGUGGCGAAAGCGGCGCUCUGGUCCUCUUCUGACGCUGAGGCGCGAAAGCCAGGGGAGCAAACGGG